Molecule: ribosomal RNA, 395 nt
Filed under: uncultured bacterium
Lineage: Bacteria
Description: bacterial SSU rRNA
Rfam family: Bacterial small subunit ribosomal RNA
Source: RNAcentral
GUGUCAGCCGCCGCGGUAAUACGUAGGUGGCAAGCGUUGUCCGGAUUUACUGGGCGUAAAGCGCGCGCAGGCGGCUGGCCAAGUCUGAUGUGAAAGCUUCCGGCUUAACUGGAAAAUGGCAUCGGAAACUGGCCGGCUGGAAGGUGGGAGAGGGUAGCGGAAUUCCCGGUGUAGUGGUGGAAUGCGUAGAUAUCGGGAGGAACACCAGUGGCGAAAGCGGCUACCUGGCCCACUCUUGACGCUGAGGCGCGAAAGCUAGGGGAGCAAACGGGAUUAGAUACCCCGGUAGUCCUAGCCGUAAACGAUGAACACUAGGCGUUGUCGGUAUCGACCCCGGCAGUGCCGAAGCUAACGCAUUAAGUGUUCCGCCUGGGGAGUACGGCCGCAAGGCUAAA